This 86-nucleotide transfer RNA is filed under the name Candidatus Komeilibacteria bacterium CG10_big_fil_rev_8_21_14_0_10_41_13. RNAcentral describes it as "tRNA-Leu". It matches the Rfam family "tRNA". Rfam says of the family: Transfer RNA (tRNA) molecules are approximately 80 nucleotides in length. Their secondary structure includes four short double-helical elements and three loops (D, anti-codon, and T loops). Lineage: Bacteria; Candidatus Komeiliibacteriota. The record is from RNAcentral.
GCCGGAGUGGUGGAACUGGUAGACACGCAUGGUUUAGGGCCAUGUACCCCUGUGGUGUGGAGGUUCGAGUCCUCUCUCCGGCACCA